Molecule: transfer RNA, 73 nt
Filed under: Acidobacteriota bacterium
Lineage: Bacteria; Pseudomonadati; Acidobacteriota
Also listed under: 2 other names
Description: Acidobacteria bacterium tRNA-Cys
Rfam family: tRNA
About the family: Transfer RNA (tRNA) molecules are approximately 80 nucleotides in length. Their secondary structure includes four short double-helical elements and three loops (D, anti-codon, and T loops). Further hydrogen bonds mediate the characteristic L-shaped molecular structure. tRNAs have two regions of fundamental functional importance: the anti-codon, which is responsible for specific mRNA codon recognition, and the 3' end, to which the tRNAs corresponding amino acid is attached (by aminoacyl-tRNA synthetases). tRNAs cope with the degeneracy of the genetic code in two manners: having more than one tRNA (with a specific anti-codon) for a particular amino acid; and 'wobble' base-pairing, i.e. permitting non-standard base-pairing at the 3rd anti-codon position.
Source: RNAcentral
GCCGCGGUAGCCAAGCGGGAAGGCAAGGCUUGCAAAACCUUACGCGGCGGUUCGAUUCCGCCCCGCGGCUCCA